Molecule: ribosomal RNA, 497 nt
Filed under: uncultured bacterium
Lineage: Bacteria
Description: partial 16S ribosomal RNA
Rfam family: Bacterial small subunit ribosomal RNA
Source: RNAcentral
GAUGAACGCUGGCGGCGUGCCUAAUACAUGCAAGUCGAGCGAACAGACGAGGAGCUUGCUCCUCUGACGUUAGCGGCGGACGGGUGAGUAACACGUGGAUAACCUACCUAUAAGACUGGGAUAACUUCGGGAAACCGGAGCUAAUACCGGAUAAUAUAUUGAACCGCAUGGUUCAAUAGUGAAAGACGGUUUUGCUGUCACUUAUAGAUGGAUCCGCGCCGCAUUAGCUAGUUGGUAAGGUAACGGCUUACCAAGGCGACGAUGCGUAGCCGACCUGAGAGGGUGAUCGGCCACACUGGAACUGAGACACGGUCCAGACUCCUACGGGAGGCAGCAGUAGGGAAUCUUCCGCAAUGGGCGAAAGCUUGACGGAGCAACGCCGCGUGAGUGAUGAAGGUCUUCGGAUCGUAAAACUCUGUUAUUAGGGAAGAACAAAUGUGUAAGUAACUAUGCACGUCUUGACGGUACCUAAUCAGAAAGCCACGGCUAACUAUGUG